CAUGCAAGUCGAACGAUGAUCCGGUGCUUGCACCGGGGAUUAGUGGCGAACGGGUGAGUAACACGUGAGUAACCUGCCCUUAACUCUGGGAUAAGCCUGGGAAACUGGGUCUAAUACCGGAUAUGACUGAUCAUCGCAUGGUGGUUGGUGGAAAGCUUUUUUGUGGUUUUGGAUGGACUCGCGGCCUAUCAGCUUGUUGGUGAGGUAAUGGCUUACCAAGGCGACGACGGGUAGCCGGCCUGAGAGGGUGACCGGCCACACUGGGACUGAGACACGGCCCAGACUCCUACGGGAGGCAGCAGUGGGGAAUAUUGCACAAUGGGCGCAAGCCUGAUGCAGCGACGCCGCGUGAGGGAUGACGGCCUUCGGGUUGUAAACCUCUUUCAGUAGGGAAGAAGCGAAAGUGACGGUACCUGCAGAAGAAGCGCCGGCUAACUACGUGCCAGCAGCCGCGGUAAUACGUAGGGCGCAAGCGUUAUCCGGAAUUAUUGGGCGUAAAGAGCUCGUAGGCGGUUUGUCGCGUCUGCCGUGAAAGUCCGGGGCUCAACUCCGGAUCUGCGGUGGGUACGGGCAGACUAGAGUGAUGUAGGGGAGACUGGAAUUCCUGGUGUAGCGGUGAAAUGCGCAGAUAUCAGGAGGAACACCGAUGGCGAAGGCAGGUCUCUGGGCAUUAACUGACGCUGAGGAGCGAAAGCAUGGGGAGCGAACAGGAUUAGAUACCCUGGUAGUCCAUGCCGUAAACGUUGGGCACUAGGUGUGGGGGACAUUCCACGUUUUCCGCGCCGUAGCUAACGCAUUAAGUGCCCCGCCUGGGGAGUACGGCCGCAAGGCUAAAACUCAAAGGAAUUGACGGGGGCCCGCACAAGCGGCGGAGCAUGCGGAUUAAUUCGAUGCAACGCGAAGAACCUUACCAAGGCUUGACAUGAACCGGAAAGACCUGGAAACAGGUGCCCCGCUUGCGGUCGGUUUACAGGUGGUGCAUGGUUGUCGUCAGCUCGUGUCGUGAGAUGUUGGGUUAAGUCCCGCAACGAGCGCAACCCUCGUUCUAUGUUGCCAGCACGUGAUGGUGGG
This 1071-nucleotide ribosomal RNA is filed under the name Pseudarthrobacter sp. RNAcentral describes it as "bacterial SSU rRNA". It matches the Rfam family "Bacterial small subunit ribosomal RNA", at positions 54 to 1135 of the family's 1533-position model. Lineage: Bacteria; Bacillati; Actinomycetota; Actinomycetes; Micrococcales; Micrococcaceae. The record is from RNAcentral.